This 213-nucleotide ribosomal RNA is filed under the name Salmonella enterica subsp. enterica serovar Kentucky. RNAcentral's name for it is "partial 16S ribosomal RNA". It matches the Rfam family "Bacterial small subunit ribosomal RNA", at positions 1333 to 1533 of the family's 1533-position model. Lineage: Bacteria; Pseudomonadati; Pseudomonadota; Gammaproteobacteria; Enterobacterales; Enterobacteriaceae. The record is from RNAcentral.
CGCUAGUAAUCGUGGAUCAGAAUGCCACGGUGAAUACGUUCCCGGGCCUUGUACACACCGCCCGUCACACCAUGGGAGUGGGUUGCAAAAGAAGUAGGUAGCUUAACCUUCGGGAGGGCGCUUACCACUUUGUGAUUCAUGACUGGGGUGAAGUCGUAACAAGGUAACCGUAGGGGAACCUGCGGUUGGAUCACCUCCUUACCUGAAAGAAGC